RNAcentral lists this ribosomal RNA (1334 nucleotides) under Microbacterium testaceum. RNAcentral's name for it is "bacterial SSU rRNA". It matches the Rfam family "Bacterial small subunit ribosomal RNA", at positions 59 to 1405 of the family's 1533-position model. The record is from RNAcentral. Lineage: Bacteria; Bacillati; Actinomycetota; Actinomycetes; Micrococcales; Microbacteriaceae.
CAGUCGAACGGUGAGCCAAGCUUGCUUGGUGGAUCAGUGGCGAACGGGUGAGUAACACGUGAGCAACCUGCCCUGGACUCUGGGAUAAGCGCUGGAAACGGCGUCUAAUACUGGAUAUGAGACGUGAUCGCAUGGUCGUGUUUGGAAAGAUUUUUCGGUCUGGGAUGGGCUCGCGGCCUAUCAGCUUGUUGGUGAGGUAAUGGCUCACCAAGGCGUCGACGGGUAGCCGGCCUGAGAGGGUGACCGGCCACACUGGGACUGAGACACGGCCCAGACUCCUACGGGAGGCAGCAGUGGGGAAUAUUGCACAAUGGGCGAAAGCCUGAUGCAGCAACGCCGCGUGAGGGAUGACGGCCUUCGGGUUGUAAACCUCUUUUAGCAGGGAAGAAGCGAAAGUGACGGUACCUGCAGAAAAAGCGCCGGCUAACUACGUGCCAGCAGCCGCGGUAAUACGUAGGGCGCAAGCGUUAUCCGGAAUUAUUGGGCGUAAAGAGCUCGUAGGCGGUUUGUCGCGUCUGCUGUGAAAUCCCGAGGCUCAACCUCGGGCCUGCAGUGGGUACGGGCAGACUAGAGUGCGGUAGGGGAGAUUGGAAUUCCUGGUGUAGCGGUGGAAUGCGCAGAUAUCAGGAGGAACACCGAUGGCGAAGGCAGAUCUCUGGGCCGUAACUGACGCUGAGGAGCGAAAGGGUGGGGAGCAAACAGGCUUARAUACCCUGGUAGUCCACCCCGUAAACGUUGGGAACUAGUUGUGGGGACCAUUCCACGGUUUCCGUGACGCAGCUAACGCAUUAAGUUCCCCGCCUGGGGAGUACGGCCGCAAGGCUAAAACUCAAAGGAAUUGACGGGGACCCGCACAAGCGGCGGAGCAUGCGGAUUAAUUCGAUGCAACGCGAAGAACCUUACCAAGGCUUGACAUAUACGAGAACGGGCCAGAAAUGGUCAACUCUUUGGACACUCGUAAACAGGUGGUGCAUGGUUGUCGUCAGCUCGUGUCGUGAGAUGUUGGGUUAAGUCCCGCAACGAGCGCAACCCUCGUUCUAUGUUGCCAGCACGUAAUGGUGGGAACUCAUGGGAUACUGCCGGGGUCAACUCGGAGGAAGGUGGGGAUGACGUCAAAUCAUCAUGCCCCUUAUGUCUUGGGCUUCACGCAUGCUACAAUGGCCGGUACAAAGGGCUGCAAUACCGUGAGGUGGAGCGAAUCCCAAAAAGCCGGUCCCAGUUCGGAUUGAGGUCUGCAACUCGACCUCAUGAAGUCGGAGUCGCUAGUAAUCGCAGAUCAGCAACGCUGCGGUGAAUACGUUCCCGGGUCUUGUACACACCGCCCGUCAAGUCAU